AAUUUAAGAGAUAAAAAUCAGCUUAUCUGAAAUAAAAUAAAUUUAGGUUCGUUUGUUUGCCAUGAAAUCAUUCUCCGGAAAAGCUUUUCAGCUUUUUCCAGUGUUUGUUUGGCUGAAAAGAAUUUCCUAACCUAAAAUGAAUUACCAAACACGGGAAAUGAGGCCUUUAAUUUGGAAAAAUGUCUUACCAUUUUUAUUUCGGUAAGACAUUUUCGUGAAAAGAAGCGAAGAACUCUCAACACCUAAUCUCCCUUCCCCUUCCCCCAUCCUUGACACCUCGAUCUUCUGCUUGCCGUCAACCAACAAUGAUUCUCAACAUCAGACGCCAGCGCUCAUCUUUGAUUUUCCUCAUCUUCGCCUUUCGUUGUCAAAAUGGUUACUCCACCACCAGUCGGCAUAUAUACUUGGAGUCACCCUCCCCAUCUGCAUCCAUCUUUUCCAUUACACUGAAAAUUGAACCCUAGAAUUUUGAUUUGAAUCGCUCCGAGACAGCCAAGGGGCAGAUUGAUGGUCUUGAGCUUAUAGCCUUUGAGAAUUUUACAUCCCGUGCUGUGAUGGAGGCAGUCGGGUCAUGCGUCACAAACAAGUAUUCUGAAGGACUACUUGGUGCUAUGGUGGCAAUGAGUACAUUGAUGAACUUGAAAUACUUUUCCAAAAGAGGGCUUUGGCAGCAUUUCAUUUGGAUGAAAAGAAGUAGGGCAUUAAUGUUCAAUCGUUGCCUGGUUCUCCGGCAAACUUUGAGGUUUAUAUAGCUAUUCUUAAUCCACAUGAUCGAAUAAUGGGUCUGGACUUACCUCAUGGGGGAAAUUUGUCACAUGGAUUUAUGACUCCUAAAAGACGAGUAUCUGGCACAUCAAUCUAUUUCAGGUCAAUGCCUUAUCGACUUGAUGAAUCCACAGAUUGCAUAUUACACUGCUGAGGUUGACAUAGUAAAAAUUUUCAGUGAAGAAUUAUUGGAUUUGAUGAAACCUUGGUUAGUAUGUCUGGAUUAAUUGAAGGUCUUCUAGAUUCUGUUGCCCUUAGAUGCCUAGCACGAGCUCCCUUCUACCUAUAUCCUAAGGUGGAGCUUGUUUCCCGUUCAUGGAGAGCUGCCAUUCGUGGCUCUGAGCUGUUCAAAGCUUGGCAGGAGGUUGGCUCAGCAAAGGAACUUCUUUGAGUGUGUGCAUACGAUCCUUGUUUCUAGUAAAAUUUGGAUAAUAUUAUUAAUUUCUAGUAUUAAUUGUGGUUUGAAGCUAAUUUAUAAUUAUUCAAUCCUUGUUUUUUUUUAUAACACAAUUAGAAAUAAUUUAAUUGACUUUGAUUAUUUUCAAUUUAUGACGGUUAAUAUUCUAGCUUAAUAA
Gossypium arboreum is the source of this 1340-nucleotide long non-coding RNA. RefSeq lists it as uncharacterized. The transcript is spliced from 5 exons. The record is from RefSeq and is a predicted model, not a curated record. NCBI's taxonomy places the organism in Eukaryota, Viridiplantae, Streptophyta, Magnoliopsida, Malvales, Malvaceae.